Molecule: microRNA precursor, 74 nt
Filed under: Myotis lucifugus (little brown bat)
Lineage: Eukaryota; Metazoa; Chordata; Mammalia; Chiroptera; Vespertilionidae
Description: mir-9193 microRNA precursor family
Rfam family: mir-9193 microRNA precursor family
Source: Rfam by way of RNAcentral
GGGGGGGGGGGCGGGUUCCUCAGCCUGGAUUGCAAGAGGGAGCAGGCCAGGCCAAGGGACUCAACCCGUGCACG